GUUGCACAAAAGCCAGGAAAAUGUAUGAACAAACUGAUUACAGUUGUCAGAAAAUUGUUAUUUUUCAUCUACCGAUACAACCAUUUGUAAUUUAAUAAUGCAGACGUUGAUGUAGAUGUACGAAUGUAUAUGCUUUAAUCCACUAACCCAAAAAAAAAAAAAAUCUCAAUCAACAACUCAUUCAAGCAUUCCAUUUCUCAGCUCCUCUGUAUGCCGUUCCUUUUCACUCUUCAAAACUCAAACAAGAAGUUUAGAAUACCUGUUGUACUUGUAUUUCAGGAUCUUUUUCCAUGGAGUUCUUUGGAAAGCUUGUUAAGAGCACGAUCCAAAAAGCCGUUCAGAGUGUGAAUCGAACUUCCACUGAUGUUUUUGAUUCUCUAUGUGAGGAGUUGUACCAAUUGGAACAGCGUUAUUAUGAUAGGGAUAGAGAUGCUGCAGAUCAAAUUCGAAUCCUUGAAAUUGAAGCAGGGCUGAUGAGAAUGUUUCAGAUGUUGGUGACGAAUUGGGAUGAUGCUGAUAAGCAGCGUGGUGCUGGUCAGGGGUUGGGGUCUGUAGUUCGAGAUCUUGAAGUUGCAUUUAAGAAGGCAAUGAAUGAUGUAAGAAUUGCUGCUCGAGAAGAGGUUAUUGUAGUUGCAAUUUCUAAGUUAGAACUGAAGCAUAUGUGUUCGAGCCCACAAGUGGAAGCAGCUUAUGAGUAUGUUGCAUCUAACUACUCAUUGAGAUCCCACGAUUUUUUAAGCAAUUAUGAUAACUGGUAUAACUUCUUUAACUGUCUACGAAUUAUUGUUUGGCGGCAAAUUGACUUGCUCAGCCAUAUCUGCCCACAAUUUGGUACCAUGUAUGAUAUGCUAGAGUGUCUCGGUACUUAUGUUGAAAAGAUGAGAUAUUCUUGUCCUAAUCUACAAAUAAAACUUCGGACUCAUUUUGGAGGUGCACUUGUCCGCACAGCGCAUUUUUCUUAUUUGUGCUGGAUUCAUCGAAUGCAUGAAGACAAGAAACGGCAGAUGAUCAUCAUGCUUUCUGAUCUGUUAAAGGCGUUCAAGCCUAAUACGCCACAAGUUACGGAGCUGUGUAUCAAAUUAACCAGCGAUCAUUGCUCAUGCCACUCUGAGCCAUAUGCAUAUGUGUAUCUGGUAGAAAAAUUUAUUGGUUUUCUCAUUCCUAAGGAGUGUUCUCGACUUCAAACCUUCUGCAAAAGGCUCAAAGAUCUGGUAUUCUUUGCCCGUUCCAUUUAUGUGUCAGAUCUCUACAGGGCGGAUGAUGUGAAGCUGACUUUAAUGGAGAUUAAAGCAACCAUUAUCGAGCUUGGAUCUUUCGGUUAUUCAGUUCAUGAUAGAGAGGAAACAUGGGACACCGAUCCUGCAUUUUUUAGAUUGGUAGAAAAGAUGGAGCUUCUAAGGGUAGAGGUCUUCCUGAUCCGACUGCUAAACCAAAAAGGCAGUUUAAAGUUCCUUGAGCGUCAAAUUGAUUCUUUCCACAAUGAACUGGAGUAUUUUCGAGAUUACCAGAGAAAUGCACCUGUGGCGAAAACUAAAGUUCCUAAGCUGAUUUGGUUGCAUAUCAGACCUGUGGCUGGGGAGGCUGGCUCUGUUUAUCGAUCAUUUCUUGCCAAGUCCAUCACUGAAGACAAGUUCACAGAUGAGUUACUUAAGUUGCUAGAGAAGAUUAAACUUUUGAAGACGGAGGUACUUUUUGAAGAGCUUCUUAGUAGACACCCAAGUCUGACAGACAAUGUGAAGCGCCAAAUUAACAGCCUUGGUCAUUGGCUGGUAGUCAGCAGAACUUAUUUGAUGGGUCCGCUAGAGGAGAAUGAGAAAUCGAUCUUGACACAAGUAGAGUCAGUAGCAAGGGAUGCAGCUUGUUUCUAUUACUCUCUUCUUGAAAAUGAAAUUACGGAAGAAACAAUGAGGGAAUUCAGUCAUUUGCUUCCUGAGUUAGUUGACAAGAUGAAGGUUGUCAAUGCAGAGAUCAAAGAAAUUUACCUACCUCACAGACGGUCAUUAAGAUCUAAUUUUCCCAAGAUGGAAGGACUUGGCAGCAUUGAUUUCUUUUUAGUAGAUCUCUUGGAGCAGCUCAAGUCUAAAGCCGGCUCUGUUCUUUCAGUGAAACAUAAAUUUCAUGUCGUUCACAGAGAGAUAAAGUUCUUGAGAUCAUUCCUCACGAACAUUGAAGAGAAGUAUGAUAAGCAUCAGGAUUUGAAGAGUGUUGCUUCGAGCAUUGUACAAGUAACACUCGAGGCAGAAUAUCUCAUUGAUUCAUUUGUGGCUGGAGAUUCUUUGAGAUGGUAUCAUCCAUUAUGGCUUUCUGAUCUCGUGGAAGACCUCAAACUUAUUAAGCUUCAGGCAAGAAAAACUUGUAAGAAUGCACAUGGCAUCAACAUUCAUAAUGUUCCCACCGCUUCAACAAUGGUAUCAUCACAGGCAGAAAUUCGCAAGAUUGAUGAAGUUGUUAUUGAUCUUGCUGAUGAAAAGAAACUGUUCAUUGAUAGACUUAUAGCAGGAUCAGGAAAACUAGGUGUUUUCUCAGUUGUUGGGAUGGCUGGACUCGGCAAGACAACUUUAGCCAGGAGGGUGUACGACGAUCCUUCAGUUACCGAUCACUUCCACGUUCAAGCAUGGUGUUGUAUCUCCCAAACAUAUCAGAAGAGAGAAUUGCUUCUUCAAAUUUUACGCAACAUUGUGGAACUUACAGAUGACGUGCUCGAAAUGAGUGAUGAAGAUUUGGUGAUGAAGUUGUACCAAUGCUUGAAGAGCUAUAGGUACCUCGUUGUUAUGGACGAUAUGUGGAGCAUUGAGGCAUGGAAUGAUUUCAAAAUAUCAUUUCCGAAUGACAACAAUGGAAGCAGAAUACUGAUCACGACCCGUCACUCUGAUGUGGCUGCAGAAGUUCAAGUAGAUGGUACUCCUCAUCCUCUUCGGCUACUAUCUGAUGACGAAAGUUGGGAGCUGUUACAAAAGAAGUUGUUCGACACAAAAGAGUGCCCCAUUGAACUGAUGGUAGUUGGAAAGCAAAUUGCUGAAAGUUGUAAAGGACUCCCUCUGGCAGUUGUUGCAAUAGCUGGUCUCCUUGAAAAGACUGACAUGAUACCUGACAGGUGGAAACAAGUUUCAGAAAGCAUAUGCUCACAGAUUGCCGAUGAUCCUGAAAGGAGGUGCAUGGACAUUUUAGAGCUCAGCUACAGGUAUCUACCCAACUAUUUGAAACCUUGCUUUCUUUAUAUUGCAGUGUUUUUGGAGGACAAAGACAUUCCAGUUAGGAAGUUGGCAUGGUUAUGGAGAGCAGAAGGAUUUAUAACAGAUUCAGGGGUAGAAAGCAUAGAAGAUAUUGCGGAGGGUUACUUGAGGAAUCUGAUUGGAAGAAGCCUAGUAAUGCCUUCCAAAAGAAGAUCACGUGGAGGAAUGAAAACAUGUCGUGUCCAUGACAUGUUGCGUACAUUAUGCAUCCGAAAGUCUGAAGAAGAAAACCUUUUGCAGUUCCAAAAUGGGUAUGAUGAACUUUUUGAUUCUUCUCAUGAGGAUAUAGACUAUGGCGUUGAUCCCAAUUACAUUUACCCCAAAAACACCAUCAAAUACCAAAAACGUCGGCUGUCUAUUUUUUCCAAGAGACAUCAUUUUACCAUGUCAAGACCUUCUGGGCCAUUUGUCCGCACUCUGCUGUACUCUGCCACCAGUGAUAUGUAUCCAAGAUGUCCCUAUGACAUCUCCUUCAUUUUUGACAACUUUGAACUUCUUAGAGUGCUGGAUUUGGAAUGCAUCAAUAUGGGAAAUUCUUUCCCCACAGGAGUCCUAGUAUUGGUUGGUCUGAGAUUUUUAGCUCUUUGUGGCGAUAUAGAUAGUAUUCCAGCAUCAAUAAACUAUCUCCGGAAUCUUGAAACCUUGCUUGUGAAGGGAUUGAAAGGUAAAGUAUCACUACCUUAUGCUAUUUGGAGCAUGGAAAAGUUGAGACAUCUCCAUAUCAAGAAUUAUGCUGUCAUCACCUUGGAAGAUGGUGAAAGCACUGUUUUUACCCCAAUACUUAAUCUGGUCAGUCUUUCCUCUCCGUAUCUCUUUUGUGGUAAAGGUACAGAGAAUAUCAUGAGGAGGUUGCUCAAACUUCGGAAAAUGAGAUGUCUAUUUUCUGAAUUACCUGAUGAUACAGGAAAGUGUAAUCAGUUUCCAAUACUGAAUUUUCUAACAGAGCUUGAGUCCCUCAAUGUACUGUACUCAGGCAGGAUUGCUCUUUCAUGUAACUUUGACUUCCCAUUGAAUCUCAGGAAGUUAACUGUGUCAAAGUUUCGCCUGCCAUGGGAUUGUAUUUCGGAGAUUGGGAGAUUACCAAACCUUGAGGUUCUUAAAUUACUCUCUAAAGCUUUUGAGGGGAAAGUGUGGGAGAUGAAAGAAGGAGAGUUCCUUAAACUGAAAUUUUUGAAGCUCGACAGCCUAAACAUUGCUGAAUGGAAUGCCUGUAGUGACCACCUGCCGCAGCUUGUACACCUAAUUUUACGAAGUUGCAGGGAGCUCAAGGAGGUCCCCUCUGGUUUCGGUGACAGUUCUACUCUGGAGAUGAUUGAGGUGCAAUUUUGCACAAGCUCUCUUGUGGAGUCUGUGAGACAGCUCCAGCAGGAACAACUUGACAUGGGGAAUGAGCUGAAGGUCAUUGUUGAUCGGUCAGACUUGGACUUUUGAUCACCACGGUUCUUUCAGUUGGCUGUGUGGAAAAGAGAGUAAACCUCUCAAGGUCGAGAAAGUAAAAGUCUCAGCAGAUGUUGGAAAAAGGGAAUCUGAAUGAUCUUACAUCAAGGAGUUCGGCUUGGACGAGAAAAAGCCUCAAUCUAAAAGGGUUUUCCUCAAUUUUGGCAGCGAAAUGCACUUUCAAGGCUGAUUUUUCUCACCGCUACUAGCCUGGAGGAUCUUUACUGUUGUGGAGUGAAUUUUACAAGCCUGGUGGCAAUUCUAGAAGAUUGUACAUUGGAAGAGGCCUUGCUGUCGUUAAUAUGGUCUUUUGCUGCUUCAGUUUGUUUGGGUUCUUAUUGCCUGUUUUCCUCCGAAGGGUCUUCAAGAUAUAUUAUUCAUCUAGGAAUGGGAAUAAAACUUUAUUAUUUUAUGGCGGAAACUUGAAGAUUUUAUAUUUUGAGGGACAUUGGAAGAGGCCUUCCCCCAUAAUAUGAAUACACGUUUGAAAGAUUUUGUAAGCUUCCCUUUUUUGAGGAGUCUGGCUUUGAUUUAUUCUAGCUUACAUUGCUGUAUUUUGAGAAUGGAUAUUUUGAGAAGUACUUUUGAUCAUGUUAUUGCUUACAGUGUGAUCCCGUUUCGGGUUACUGAACUAUUUUUAGUAUACUGGUGUCACUUGUUUCUUUC
Coffea arabica (coffee) is the source of this 5336-nucleotide non-coding RNA. The record is from RefSeq and is a predicted model, not a curated record. NCBI's taxonomy places the organism in Eukaryota, Viridiplantae, Streptophyta, Magnoliopsida, Gentianales, Rubiaceae.